AAUGCCGGAUGCUCCGACAUGACGCAUGUCGUGUCGGGAAAGAUUCAUCGGUAUGGGAUGGGGUCGCGUCCUAUCAGCUUGAUGGCGGGGUAACGGCCCACCAUGGCUUCGACGGGUAGCCGGCCUGAGAGGGCGACCGGCCACAUUGGGACUGAGAUACGGCCCAGACUCCUACGGGAGGCAGCAGUGGGGAAUAUUGCACAAUGGGCGCAAGCCUGAUGCAGCGACGCCGCGUGCGGGAUGACGGCCUUCGGGUUGUAAACCGCUUUUGACUGGGAGCAAGCCCUUCGGGGUGAGUGUACCUUUCGAAUAAGCACCGGCUAACUACGUGCCAGCAGCCGCGGUAAUACGUAGGGUGCAAGCGUUAUCCGGAAUUAUUGGGCGUAAAGGGCUCGUAGGCGGUUCGUCGCGUCCGGUGUGAAAGUCCAUCGCUUAACGGUGGAUCCGCGCCGGGUACGGGCGGGCUUGAGUGCGGUAGGGGAGACUGGAAUUCCCGGUGUAACGGUGGAAUGUGUAGAUAUCG
RNAcentral lists this ribosomal RNA (523 nucleotides) under Bifidobacterium adolescentis JCM 15918. RNAcentral's name for it is "bacterial SSU rRNA". It matches the Rfam family "Bacterial small subunit ribosomal RNA", at positions 165 to 699 of the family's 1533-position model. The record is from RNAcentral. Lineage: Bacteria; Bacillati; Actinomycetota; Actinomycetes; Bifidobacteriales; Bifidobacteriaceae.